RNAcentral lists this ribosomal RNA (433 nucleotides) under uncultured bacterium. RNAcentral's name for it is "partial 16S ribosomal RNA". It matches the Rfam family "Bacterial small subunit ribosomal RNA", at positions 28 to 507 of the family's 1533-position model. The record is from RNAcentral.
GACGAACGCUGGCGGCGGGCCUAACACAUGCAAGUCGAGCGAGGACUUCGGUCCUUUCGGCGGACGGGGGAGUAACGCGUGGGGACGAGCACUUUGCUACGGAAUAGCUCUGGGAAACAGAGAGUAAUACCGGAUGGGCCCUUACGGGGAAAGAUCUAUCGGCGUAGGAUCGGCCCGCGUUGGAUUAGGUAGUUGGGGGGGUAAUGGCAUACCAAGCGCACGAUCCAUAGCUGGUUUGAGAGGAUGAUCAGCCACACUUGGACUGAGACACGGCCCAGACUCCUACGCGAGGCAGCAGUGGGGAAUCUUAGACAAUGGGGGAAGCCCUGAUCGAGCCAUGCCGGGGGAGCGAUGAAGGCCUUAGUGUUCUAAAGCGCUUUCAGCUGGGAAGAUAAUGACGGUACCAGCAGAAGAAGCCCCGGCUAACUACGUG